This is a non-coding RNA of Acanthosepion pharaonis, 111 nucleotides long. The record is from the annotation of a GenBank genome assembly. Lineage: Eukaryota; Metazoa; Mollusca; Cephalopoda; Sepiida; Sepiidae.
UACGACCGUAUCACGUUGAAACAUGGGUUCUCGUGCGAUCACCUAAGUUAAGCAACGUCGAGCCAUGUCAGUACUUAGAUAGGGGUUCGUUUGUGAAUACUCAGAGCUGUC